This 301-nucleotide ribosomal RNA is filed under the name uncultured bacterium. RNAcentral's name for it is "partial 16S ribosomal RNA". It matches the Rfam family "Bacterial small subunit ribosomal RNA", at positions 509 to 807 of the family's 1533-position model. The record is from RNAcentral.
CAGCAGCCGCGGGAAUACGUAGGUGGCAAGCGUUGUCCGGAAUUAUUGGGCGUAAAGGGCUCGCAGGCGGUUUCUUAAGUCUGAUGUGAAAGCCCCCGGCUCAACCGGGGAGGGUCAUUGGAAACUGGGAAACUUGAGUGCAGAAGAGGAGAGUGGAAUUCCACGUGUAGCGGUGAAAUGCGUAGAGAUGUGGAGGAACACCAGUGGCGAAGGCGGCUCACUGGCCCGGAACUGACGCUGAGACGCGAAAGCGUGGGGAGCAAACAGGAUUAGAGACCCGUGUAGUCCCUGUCUCUUAUAC